GAUGAAGAACGCAGCGAAAUGCGAUAAGUAAUGUGAAUUGCAGAAUUCAGUGAAUCAUCGAAUCUUUGAACGCACCUUGCGCCCUUUGGCUAUUCUGAAGGGCAUGCCUGUUUGAGUAUCGUGAACACCUCAACUCUCAUGGUCUGCCAUGAUGAGCUUGGACUUUGGGGGUCUUGCUGGCCUACUGUCAGCUCCUCUCAAAUGAAUCAGCUUACCAGUGUUUGGUGGCACCACAGGUGUGAUAACUAUCUACGCUUGUGGUUUUCUGCCAGGUAACCUCCAGUGAUGGAGGUUCGCUGGAGCUCACAAAUGUCUCUCCUCAGCGAGGACAGCUUUUUGAACGUUUGAUCUCAAAUCAGGUAGGACUACCCGCUGAACUUAAGCAUAUCAAUAGCGGAGGA
This 401-nucleotide unclassified non-coding RNA is filed under the name soil metagenome. RNAcentral describes it as "partial contains 5.8S ribosomal RNA, internal transcribed spacer 2, and large subunit ribosomal RNA". The stretch from base 1 to 121 matches the Rfam family "5.8S ribosomal RNA", at positions 35 to 154 of the family's 154-position model. The record is from RNAcentral.